GCACUGCUGAGGAGUCCCAUGUUAGGACGAAACGGCCUUCCAGUGC
Molecule: non-coding RNA, 46 nt
Filed under: Schistosoma curassoni
Lineage: Eukaryota; Metazoa; Platyhelminthes; Trematoda; Strigeidida; Schistosomatidae
Source: RNAcentral